Thalassophryne amazonica is the source of this 99-nucleotide long non-coding RNA. RefSeq lists it as uncharacterized. Lineage: Eukaryota; Metazoa; Chordata; Actinopteri; Batrachoidiformes; Batrachoididae. The transcript is spliced from 3 exons. The record is from RefSeq and is a predicted model, not a curated record.
UGAAUUUUCUUAUAUUCAUUCUGAGAAUCUGACAUUGGUGGUGGUAAGCUACUAGUGUAUCCACAGCUGCAAUGGGGCAGACUGACGGAAGCAUGGCUG